AAGGUCAGCAUUUUAAAGACAGCUAAAACUUCUUACUAUUUCAAAGGAGGAACUGUGCUUCAAACCCCAUCAUCUUCUUCUUCUGUUCUCUGUAAGUGGAUUUCUUCAACCUUUUUAGUUUGUCUAUGGAUCCAAUCUAUGUGUUUUUUGUGUGUUAUUUUGUUUGGUUUUUGUUGGGUUUCUUAUUAUUAUUAUUAUUAUUAUUAUUAUUAUUUUGGUUUGGGGUUGACUUUGUGAUCAACGGAGGCAGCUGCAGGAAUGGGUUCAAACUCUGAAGUUUAUCUCUUCGAUGAGGUGGCAAAGCACAACCACAAGAAAGAUUGUUGGAUCAUAAUCUCUGGAAAGG
This 346-nucleotide long non-coding RNA is filed under the name Malus domestica (apple). RNAcentral's name for it is "long non-coding RNA (MDOM_LNC019128)". The record is from RNAcentral. Lineage: Eukaryota; Viridiplantae; Streptophyta; Magnoliopsida; Rosales; Rosaceae.